GUUUUGAUUUAUGGCUCAGGAUGAACGCUGGCGGCGUGCCUAAUACAUGCAAGUCGAGCGAACGGACGAGAAGCUUGCUUCUCUGAUGUUAGCGGCGGACGGGUGAGUAACACGUGGAUAACCUACCUAUAAGACUGGGAUAACUUCGGGAAACCGGAGCUAAUACCGGAUAAUAUUUUGAACCGCAUGGUUCAAAAGUGAAAGACGGUCUUGCUGUCACUUAUAGAUGGAUCCGCGCUGCAUUAGCUAGUUGGUAAGGUAACGGCUUACCAAGGCAACGAUGCAUAGCCGACCUGAGAGGGUGAUCGGCCACACUGGAACUGAGACACGGUCCAGACUCCUACGGGAGGCAGCAGUAGGGAAUCUUCCGCAAUGGGCGAAAGCCUGACGGAGCAACGCCGCGUGAGUGAUGAAGGUCUUCGGAUCGUAAAACUCUGUUAUUAGGGAAGAACAUAUGUGUAAGUAACUGUGCACAUCUUGACGGUACCUAAUCAGAAAGCCACGGCUAACUACGUGCCAGCAGCCGCGGUAAUACGUAGGUGGCAAGCGUUAUCCGGAAUUAUUGGGCGUAAAGCGCGCGUAGGCGGUUUUUUAAGUCUGAUGUGAAAGCCCACGGCUCAACCGUGGAGGGUCAUUGGAAACUGGAAAACUUGAGUGCAGAAGAGGAAAGUGGAAUUCCAUGUGUAGCGGUGAAAUGCGCAGAGAUAUGGAGGAACACCAGUGGCGAAGGCGACUUUCUGGUCUGUAACUGACGCUGAUGUGCGAAAGCGUGGGGAUCAAACAGGAUUAGAUACCCUGGUAGUCCACGCCGUAAACGAUGAGUGCUAAGUGUUAGGGGGUUUCCGCCCCUUAGUGCUGCAGCUAACGCAUUAAGCACUCCGCCUGGGGAGUACGACCGCAAGGUUGAAACUCAAAGGAAUUGACGGGGACCCGCACAAGCGGUGGAGCAUGUGGUUUAAUUCGAAGCAACGCGAAGAACCUUACCAAAUCUUGACAUCCUUUGACAACUCUAGAGAUAGAGCUUUCCCCUUCGGGGGACAAAGUGACAGGUGGUGCAUGGUUGUCGUCAGCUCGUGUCGUGAGAUGUUGGGUUAAGUCCCGCAACGAGCGCAACCCUUAAGCUUAGUUGCCAUCAUUAAGUUGGGCACUCUAAGUUGACUGCCGGUGACAAACCGGAGGAAGGUGGGGAUGACGUCAAAUCAUCAUGCCCCUUAUGAUUUGGGCUACACACGUGCUACAAUGGACAAUACAAAGGGCAGCGAAACCGCGAGGUCAAGCAAAUCCCAUAAAGUUGUUCUCAGUUCGGAUUGUAGUCUGCAACUCGACUACAUGAAGCUGGAAUCGCUAGUAAUCGUAGAUCAGCAUGCUACGGUGAAUACGUUCCCGGGUCUUGUACACACCGCCCGUCACACCACGAGAGUUUGUAACACCCGAAGCCGGUGGAGUAACCUUUUAGGAGCUAGCCGUCGAAGGUGGGACAAAUGAUUGGGGUGAAGUCGUAAAAAGGUAGCCAUAA
This 1516-nucleotide ribosomal RNA is filed under the name Staphylococcus aureus. RNAcentral describes it as "partial 16S ribosomal RNA". It matches the Rfam family "Bacterial small subunit ribosomal RNA". The record is from RNAcentral. Lineage: Bacteria; Bacillati; Bacillota; Bacilli; Caryophanales; Staphylococcaceae.